UACGGAGGAUUCAAGCGUUAUCCGGAUUUAUUGGGUUUAAAGGGUGCGUAGGCGGUCUGAUAAGUUAGAGGUGAAAUCCCGGGGCUUAACUCCGGAAUUGCCUCUGAUACUGUUGGGCUAGAGAGUAGUUGCGGUAGGUGGAAUGUAUGGUGUAGCGGUGAAAUGCUUAGAGAUCAUACAGAACACCGAUUGCGAAGGCAGCUUACCAAACUAUAUCUGACGUUGAGGCACGAAAGCGUGGGGAGCAAACAGG
This 253-nucleotide ribosomal RNA is filed under the name uncultured bacterium. RNAcentral's name for it is "partial 16S ribosomal RNA". It matches the Rfam family "Bacterial small subunit ribosomal RNA", at positions 524 to 776 of the family's 1533-position model. The record is from RNAcentral.